CCUACGGGAGGCAGCAGUGGGGAAUCUUGCGCAAUGGCCGCAAGGCUGACGCAGCGACGCCGCGUGCGGGAGGACGCUCUUCGGGGUGUAAACCGCUGUUGCCCGGGACGAACCGGCUCCUUUUGGAGCCCUGACGGUACCGGGUGAGGAAGCACCGGCUAACUCCGUGCCAGCAGCCGCGGUAAUACGGAGGGUGCGAGCGUUGUCCGGAAUUACUGGGCGUAAAGGGCGCGUAGGCGGCGGUGCACGCGUGGGGUGAAAGUCCGGGGCUCAACUCCGGAUCGGCCUUGCGGACGGCACUGCUUGAGCAUGGUAGAGGCAGGUGGAAUUCCGGGUGUAGCGGUGGAAUGCGUAGAGAUCCGGAAGAACACCGGUGGCGAAGGCGGCCUGCUGGGCCAAUGCUGACGCUGAGGCGCGACAGCGUGGGGAGCAAACAGGAU
Molecule: ribosomal RNA, 440 nt
Filed under: uncultured bacterium
Lineage: Bacteria
Description: bacterial SSU rRNA
Rfam family: Bacterial small subunit ribosomal RNA
Source: RNAcentral